GGUGCUUGUGAAGUUUCCUCCAUAGCUCUUUUGCAAUCAAUCAUUCGUCUGUUAUUAUGGGUAAAUGGUCAUCCAAAUCCGAAAUACACAACAGAUUAUAGGUUGAAUAUAUAUGUGUCUUACAAUCUAUUUCUUUCAUAUUUUCAGUUGUUCCAUUGUAUGCAUGCACAUUGGAAGGCAGAAAGUAAUGUUGGCUGGUCGCCAGAGAAGUAAAAAGGCCAACAUCUUGAGCUGUAUGGAGCAUGGUUGUUUUCUUGAAGUUUCUGAUGGAUUGUAUACCAUUGACUGAUAGGAAUCGUUCAUUCAUGAGAAUGGGACAAGAGCAUUGCUAGAUGGAAUUCGGCUGAGUGUAAGUACACAUGAGAGGUGUGUUUUCAUUGAUAGAGGAAGGGUGAGAGCAUGACACUUGUACAGGAAAAAGAAAGAAAUGGAAACCAAAAUUUAAAAGUAAAGAGAAGAAUGCUAUGAUCUCAUGAUAAGAUGUCGGUCACCAGCGAGCACCCACAUGAGAAAACCUAUAAUAGGUCCUAAGACACAUAAUAUGUGAUUAAGGGGCAUAAUUGGAUUAUGAGUUUGGACCAGAGAUACUUCCUAAAGUAUAUGCAUUGUAGCCCAGGCAACAAGUAUGAGUUGUCACACCUUUCUAU
This 647-nucleotide long non-coding RNA is filed under the name Triticum aestivum (bread wheat). Its description in RNAcentral is "long non-coding RNA (TAES_LNC004759)". The record is from RNAcentral. Lineage: Eukaryota; Viridiplantae; Streptophyta; Magnoliopsida; Poales; Poaceae.